RNAcentral lists this transfer RNA (75 nucleotides) under Acidobacteriota bacterium. Its description in RNAcentral is "tRNA-Trp". It matches the Rfam family "tRNA". Rfam says of the family: Transfer RNA (tRNA) molecules are approximately 80 nucleotides in length. Their secondary structure includes four short double-helical elements and three loops (D, anti-codon, and T loops). Lineage: Bacteria; Pseudomonadati; Acidobacteriota. The record is from RNAcentral.
GGGAGCGUGAGGAAAUGGCAGCCUGACCGGCUCCAACCCGGGCGCGUGCGAGUUCAAAUCUUGCCGCUCCUGCCA